CACGGCGCAGGUAGUGUCGGCCGAGGACAUGACGGCGUGGCGCAAAGGCCGUGACUGCACUAACGCGGAAAAAUAUUGCACGAAAAGCGCGUCAUUAGCUCAUUUCAAUAAACAAAUUAAACAAAAAUAAUCACCCACUCUAAAAAUGGAAGCAUUACAAUAAUAAACAAACUAUAAAUAAAUAUUUUUAUUGAAUACAUA
Molecule: long non-coding RNA, 201 nt
Organism: Aphis gossypii (cotton aphid)
Lineage: Eukaryota; Metazoa; Arthropoda; Insecta; Hemiptera; Aphididae
Exons: 2
Source: RefSeq, a predicted model, not a curated record